UCAGACGAUGCGUCAUGCAUAUCAAUAAGCGGAGGAAAAGAAACUAACAAGGAUUCCCCUAGUAACGGCGAGUGAAGCGGGAAGAGCUCAAAUUUGAAAUCUUAAAGGGUUUCCCUUUACGAAUUGUAGUUUAAAGAAGUGUUUUCUGUUGAGGUUUUGGUAAAAAUUCUUUGGAAUAGGACAUCAUAGAGGGUGAGAAUCCCGUAUUUGACCUUUACUUUCAACUUUGUGAUACACUUUCAAAGAGUCGGAUUGUUUGGGAAUGCAGUCCAAAAUGGGUGGUAAAUUUCAUCUAAAGCUAAAUAUUGGCGAGAGACCGAUAGCGAACAAGUACCGUGAGGGAAAGAUGAAAAGAACUUUGAAAAGAGAGUUAAACAGUACGUGAAAUUGUCAAAAGGGAAGCGUUUGACACCAGUGUUGUUUUUCUGAAAAUCAAUUAAAGAACUGUUUAUGCUAAGCUGUUUAGACUUUAUCAGCUAUCUGUUUAGUUUUGAGCUUUUCUUUAAUGCACUUUUCAGUUAACAAGUCAACAUCAAUUUCUUUUGCUGUAAAAAAGCUUGAGGAAGGUGGCUUGAGAUUCGUCUUAAGUGUUUAUAGCCUCUUGCCUAUGCAGUCGGAGAGAUUGAGGUCUGCAGCGUAGAUCCUUCGGGGCUAAAUGCAUUUGUGCUAAGUUAUAGCAUUUUAUAGACAACUUGUUGACUAUGAUUUGUCUUGUAGCUUACUCGCUUAUGUUAUUUUACCUACGCUUAGGAUGUUGACACACGCGCGUGCUCG
RNAcentral lists this ribosomal RNA (774 nucleotides) under uncultured Neocallimastigales. RNAcentral describes it as "partial large subunit ribosomal RNA". It matches the Rfam family "Eukaryotic large subunit ribosomal RNA", at positions 18 to 643 of the family's 3401-position model. The record is from RNAcentral. Lineage: Eukaryota; Fungi; Neocallimastigomycota; Neocallimastigomycetes; Neocallimastigales.